AGCCGCGACAACGCUUACGGGGCCCUACGGGGUGCAGCAGGCGCGAAACCUCCGCAAUGUGAGAAAUCGCGACGGGGGGAUCCCAAGUGCCAUUCUUAACGGGAUGGCUUUUCAUUAGUGUAAAGAGCUUUUGAAUAAGAGCUGGGCC
Molecule: ribosomal RNA, 148 nt
Filed under: uncultured archaeon
Lineage: Archaea
Description: partial 16S ribosomal RNA
Rfam family: Archaeal small subunit ribosomal RNA
Source: RNAcentral